This 376-nucleotide ribosomal RNA is filed under the name uncultured bacterium. RNAcentral's name for it is "bacterial SSU rRNA". It matches the Rfam family "Bacterial small subunit ribosomal RNA", at positions 30 to 416 of the family's 1533-position model. The record is from RNAcentral.
AUUGAACGCUGGCGGCAGGCCUAACACAUGCAAGUCGAGCGGGGGUAGCAAUACCCUAGCGGCGAACGGGUGAGGAAUGCUUGGGAAUCUGCCUCGUAGUGGGGGAUAACGUUCCGAAAGGAACGCUAAUACCGCAUACGUCCUACGGGAGAAAGGGGGGAGUCUUCGGACCUCUCGCUAUGAGAUGAGCCCAAGCGGGAUUAGCUAGUUGGUGAGGUAAAGGCUCACCAAGGCUACGAUCCCUAGCUGGUCUGAGAGGAUGAUCAGCCACACUGGAACUGAGACACGGUCCAGACUCCUACGGGAGGCAGCAGUGGGGAAUAUUGGACAAUGGGCGAAAGCCUGAUCCAGCCAUGCCGCGUGUGUGAAGAAGGCC